Molecule: unclassified non-coding RNA, 378 nt
Filed under: uncultured bacterium
Lineage: Bacteria
Description: contains 16S-23S intergenic spacer region
Source: RNAcentral
UCCGGUUUGUCACCGGCAGUCCCCCGUGAGUCCCCAGCCGAACUGUUGGCAACACGGAGCAGGGGUUGCGCUCGUUGCGGGACUUAACCCAACAUCUCACGACACGAGCUGACGACAACCAUGCACCACCUGUGCCGGCUCCCCGAGGGGUCGGCAACCCUUUCGGGCGCCUACCACCGACAUGUCAAAUCCGGGUAAGGUUCUUCGCGUAGCUUCGAAUUAAACCACAUGCUCCACCGCUUGUGCGGGCCCCCGUCAAUUCCUUUGAGUUUCAGCCUUGCGGCCGUACUCCCCAGGCGGGGUGCUUAAUGCGUUAACUGCGGCACGGAUGGGGCAACCCACCCACACCUAGCACCCAUCGUUUACGGCGUGGACUAC